Oncorhynchus tshawytscha (Chinook salmon) is the source of this 3712-nucleotide long non-coding RNA. The record is from Ensembl. NCBI's taxonomy places the organism in Eukaryota, Metazoa, Chordata, Actinopteri, Salmoniformes, Salmonidae.
AAAGAAGAAGAAUAAGAUCUAGAGCUGAUUUGCAACCCGCCGAAGCAGAUCUGGAGAAGAAGGAAAAUGUCUCCUGUCUCCACACGCACCGUUCUAGGAUCAGCUGGCCGUUAGGAAAACGCAAACAGCAAAGUGGUGAGUCGGAAAACCCUCACUAGUUGCACUGCAGUGAAGGUUAGCGCGAAAAUGUUGUGCAACCAGUUCUGAGUGUGUUGUAUCAUAAUUUCGUUUGGGCCUUAUGAAAGGCGCUACCUUCCCCCUUUGAGGCCUAGCCAGCCCUGUUUAGGUUUAGACGAAAAUAGCGAAUAUUAACGGUUUACUUUUCACUAAACAGAAUUGCGACUGUGGUUCAGGUAACUUGCAACGGUAGCAGUUACUGUGUACUUCUAACAAACUUUAUUGGGCCCAAUCUAUCAUCUGAGUAGCUAGCUACAUGCUUUUAAUGAAUGCACUGUGUUGGAUUUACAUAGGAAGCAGGUGUCCUUGCCAAAUAGAAGAUACCUAGCUUGCUAGCGACGUCCGGCCCGGAGCGCCUCCGGUGUGCGCGUGGGUGACCAACAGAGGGCGAGUUAGAAUGUGACGUCAAAACUCCUAAUGUUGUUUUUUGCAUGACGACAAAGCGUUCUUAUUACGAGCCCACAAUAUGUCAUACAAAUGUUAUAGACAUUCAUUAUUUACCAGAAUAGAAUCUUAAAUAUAAGUAAUAUACAUUGCUGAAUUGGAGAGGGUGGGAAAGAGGAUAAAUAUCUGCGACUGGUGGGAAUUAUUUAUUUAAUUGGUAGUCGAGUACCUCAACUCCAUGAUGAUUCACGAGUUGGGCACAGACUAGAGUUUUAGAAACGAACCUCCGGCUCGCUAUGCAGUCGAUACCUCGAAAGUGAAAAUUCUCAAACCCUUGUUAUGUACCUAUGUUUCUCAUCUGCGUGCCUUUGUUUGCUGAAGUCCAUGCUUUUUAAUAAAACGUUAUUCAAAAACAACCACCGACUGUUUUCUCAUUGCUGUUCCUCUAAGAGGGUAACUCGCCAAUUGAAAAUCAACAAGGAAACAGUCGGUCGUUGUAUUUUAUUAACGUUUUAUUCAAAUGUAUGGAUUUCAGCAAACAAAAAAUGGCGGGCUAAUGUAAGGGUUUAAGAAUUCACAUUUUUGAAGCAUCGACUGCAUAGCGACUCGAUGAGAUAAGAGAUUCAUAAAAACAACAACCCUAGUCUGGAUGUGAGACUUUACCCAUAACUGACCUUAGAGCAGUGUGUAAGCUCAUUCUCAUCCUACCCCGGACGUUGCAAACAAAUAUAGAAAGGUUCAGGAGAAACUCUUCCUCACUCCAAAACAGUCACCCAGGAAUUGAAGAGGAAGUGACAUCAGAGCAGAUGGAAUCAAAUCAGAGCCUGGCGGGGGUGGACUCCCAGGGCAACAUGGUGUUCAGAGUGGUUAAACCUGUCAUGGGCAUCUUCCAAGUCUCCUCAGAACAGACCAACUCUGUCGGACAGGGGGGGUCGCAGCAGAUGAUGGUUGGGGGGCUGACGGGGUUACAAGGGUUAUCCAACCUCCCCUCCAUGGUGCUGGGGGAUGGACAGGGUCAGGGCCAGCAGCAAAUGGGGGACGUGAACCAGAUGCAAGCCCAGAUUCAGAUCCCAGCAGAGGACAUGUCCCAAACCCAGGUUGCCGCUCCGAACCACAACCACGUACCCCAUGUUCCGUUUGCAGAGGUGUCGUCUCUCUUGGACCCCAACAUGAAGAGUUCCAAGGCCCGCAAGUACCUGAUACCCUAUGACGAGAUCAAGCGUCGUCUGGAGGCUCCAGAGAAGAUGUCUCUGCGUUCACUAGCAGCCUACACCAGGGUCAGCCGUGGCCCGGCCAGCAAGAAAACCCUGCAGGAGUCUCUAAAUAUACUGGGUCUUACUCCUGGUACUACUACUUCUGUGUCUUCUUCCUUUUCCAAGCUCACAGAGGGUGACACCAAAGCCCUGUGUAACGACAUGAAGGACUUUGCCCAUGACUACAUAGACUUUGGCAACAUGGCCAAGCAGCUUAUUCCAGAGACCAACACUGUCCAACACUGGUCCAAGGUCAUAGAAACCAGGAGCCACCUGGAGGCGAUGAGGAAGUGUUUUCGUGACCCGGUCAACAGUGCGUCGUUCGACAACGUGACUCAUGGGUUGGGCCUCGGGAUGCUCGACGCCGCCCUCGACAUGAUUACCAUGGUGAUCGACAAACAAAUUCGCAUCCUGUCUGGCGCUGCGGCAACCGAUCCCGUCGACACCGGCCCUCCAAUGAGACGCAUCCGCCGCCGCCACCGCAAGCCCCGAGACAACGGCAACGACAAAUUGCACGGGUCGCUGGGCGGGGUUAAAGGUCAAGAGAAAGGGCCAGGGAAGGGCAAAGGGAGGGGCAGAGGCAGGAAGAAGAUGCGGCUGCAGGAGUCUGGAGCUCCGGUUGGUGUUGCCAUGGAUACAACCCAGCAGCAUGAUCAAGAGCAUUGUCAGCCGGAGGAUGUGGAGAGCAGUGUUCUCACACUCGUCUCUGUUGGUUACGAGACCAUCUCCAGCGGCCUCAAUGCCACAGGACAGAUCUGAAGAUGUUUAACGGUUGAACAAACAAUGCUUAACAGGGGAAUCGGACUUUGCUUAAUAUUUUCCCAUGGGGAAGCUGGGAGCGGAACUGUCUUAGUAACUUUGUGGAACAUUGUGGAACGUUGUGAUGUUUAGACGCAACUCUGCUUUGGCCCACAGAACCCCAAACACUGAGAGGGAGGCAUUCAGUGACCUCACAGCAUUCUGGUUUAGAGUUUUGUUUUUGAAUGUUGCAGCUCUUGCCUACUGAUAAAUUCAAUCAAUUGAAUUUAGUUUUUUGUUGUCAGUUAGCACAGAGGUGAAGAACGCAGCUCUGUUCAAGUGGAAUUCAAGUCAAUCCAAAGAUAACCUGAUUAUAUUGAAAAACCUACAAUGUAGAAAUGAGUCUUAAUUCUGGUCUUUGGGUUAAGGCAGUCCAUUCAUUCCACCUACUCAUCUGGUAUUUGAUAGCCCCGUUUAUUUAUAUCAUGAGUGGACUAGUUAUAGCCCUCUCUCAAUCUCCAUGAUUGUAACAUAGGGAACACAUCAUGCCAGUACUUUGUCAAUGAUUGUAUGUUUAUAUUGAAACCUGGAUUGCUGAAAUAUUGUAUUAAAGCUUUCAUUUUAUUAAUUCACCUCCAUGAUGUUCUUUAUUUCUGACAGAAUCAAUGGCACAGCAUCUGAUCUGUUUCACUGAGGGAGUUUGACUAAGCUGAACCGGGGUGGCCUGUGACGUGACCGGGAAAAAGCGAUAAAUUGAAUAGUAAUCUGUGCCGCCCGGUCAACAAGGCAGCAUCAUUCAGAAACAUGGUGCAUCUUUUCAAAUUCAUUUUCUUUGAGAAGGCAGAUAAAGUACAUCAUGUGUUUUAUCACGAGAGCAAAAAUGUUUUUCACGUGAUACCUUGGAACCUUCAUAACUGCACGUGCUUGACAUACGGGCCAGCCGGUGUUAUGAUACUGGUGGAUUGUACGGUUGUGGCUACCAGUACUGCUCCAUCUUGGGGCGGCAGGGUAGCCUAGUGGUUAGAGGGUUGGACUAGUAACCGAAAGGUUGCAAGUUCGGAUCCCCGAGCUGACAAGGUACAAAUCUGUCAUUCUGCCCCUGAACAGGCAGUUAACCCACUGUUCCUAGGCUGUCAUGGGAAAUAAGAAUUUGUUCUUAA